Non-coding RNA from Pelobates cultripes (western spadefoot toad), 221 nucleotides. The record is from the annotation of a GenBank genome assembly. NCBI's taxonomy places the organism in Eukaryota, Metazoa, Chordata, Amphibia, Anura, Pelobatidae.
CUUUGGAACCUGCAUGAAAAGGGCUGAUAACCCUCCACCACAGCAUCAAGCAGCAACCUACACCCUGAGUGGACUUGUGCCUGACACCUUGUGCCUUAAGCUGGUGUUGCAAAAGCAGCAAAAUGGCUAUCUGCUCACACUGAGGAGACGGACCUGCGUCUACAUCUUGUGUCCUGCUGGUGAUGGUGGUGGGAUCCCUACCUGACACCUGGGAGUGUAUC